AAGCCGAAAGGGGGACCUCUUGGGAGGGAGGGCAGGGGGUCCUCCCCACCACCCGGCCUGGACUGGCAGCAGCUCCUCCCUCCAUAAUCACCAUCUCCCUGGCAUUUCUUGGUUCCUGUCACACCCUCUCACACCUCUGACUGUCCCUUCCUCUUGCACUGCCACACCCAUGGCUCUGGCUUCCACUUUGUAGAGACCCUGCCGUGUAGAGAGGAGAGAGGUUGACAGGCUGCCCUUUAGCCAACUGCCUGUGGUCAUCGUGUGUCACCCACUCGGCCUCAUCAUCUCACCUCCACCCUGGGCCAGGCACUGUCCUUCCCAAGGCAAAGGUCUCCAGGGUCCUAUAUAUAGCUGAUCCCUCCCUGGGAGGCGCUCACUUCUGGAUCCCUCCUGAUGAGGGAAGACUCUGCAGCCAGAGCCUCACUCUCUGGGAGAUGCUGGUGAUCUGGAUCCUGCCCCUGACUCUCUGGGUCUGGGUGCCCGCCACUGCCUCUACCACUGCCACUACCACUGCGACAUCAAAAAGUACCUCCACCCCAGGCCCUGGGAGUUCUAGCACCGUUUCUGUCAGGUCUGAAUCUACCUUCUCCUCAGAAAGUUCUCCCACCACAGGCCCUGGGAGUUCCAGCACCAUUUCUGUCAGGUCUGAAUCUACCCUCUCCUCAGAAAGUCUUCCUACCACAGGCCCUGGGCAUUCUAGCACCAUUUCUGUCAGGUCUGAAUCUACCUUCUCCUCAGAAAGGUCUCCCACCACAGGCCCUGGGCGUUCUAGCACCGUUUCUGACACCUCUCAAUCUACCUUCUCCUCAGAAAGUUCUCCCACCACAGGACCUGUGCGUUCUAGCACCUUUUCUGACGGGUCUGAAUCUACCUUCUCCUCAGAAAGUUCUCCCACCACAGGCCCUGGGCGUUCCAGCACCAUUUCUGAAAGCUCUGAAUCUACCUUCUCCUCAGAAAGUUCUCCCACCACAGGCCCUGGCAGUUUCAGCACCGUUUCUGACCAGUCUGAAUCUACCUUCUCUUCAGAAAGUUCUUCCACCACAGGCCCUGGGAGUUCCAGCACCUUUUCUGACCAGUCUGAAUCUACCUUCUCCUCAGAAGGUUCUCCUACCACAGGCCCUUGGAGUUCUAGCACCCUUCCUGACUGGUCUGAAUCCACUCUAUCUUCAGAAAGUACUCCUAUCACAGCCCCUGGGAGUUCUAGCACCAUUCAUGACUGGUCUGAAUCCACUGUUUCUUCAGAAGGUACUUCCACCACAGGCCCUGUGAGUUCUAACAUUAUUCCUGAAUGGUCUACGUCCACUGUCUCAUCAGAAAGUACCUCCACCCCAGGCCCUGGGAGUUCUAGCACCGUUUCUGACUGGUCUGGAUCCACUGUUUCCUCAGAAAGUACCUCCACCCCAGGCUCUAGGAGUCCUAGCACCGUUCCUGACUGGUCUGAAUCCACUCUCUCUUCAGAAAAUUCUCCCACUACAGGCCCUGGGAGUUCUAGCACUGUUCUUGCAUGGUCUGGAUCCACUGUCUCUUCAGAAAUUACCUCCACUCCAGGCGCUGGGAGUUCUAGCACCAUUCCUGACCGACCUGAAUCCACUGUUUCCUCAGAAAGUACUUCUACCACAAGCCCUGGGAGUUCCAGCACUAUUUCUGACAGGUCUGAAUCUACCUUCUCCUCACAAAGUUCUCCUACCACAGGCCCUGGAAGUUCUAGUACCAUUUUUGACCUGCCUGAAUCUACCUUCUCCUCAGAAAGUUCUCCCACCACCGGCCCUGGGAGUUCUAGCACUGUUCCUGACUGGUCUGGAUCUACCUUCUCUUCAGAAGGUUCUCAUACAACAGGAUCUGAUAGUUCUAGCACCGUUUCUGAUAGGUCUGAAUCUACCUUCUCUUCAGAAAGUUCUCCUACCACAGGCCCUGGGAGUUCUACCGCCAUUUCUGAUUGGUUUAACUACACAUUCUCUUCUGAGGUUUUACUGCCUACAGGCACUGACAUUUCAAUAUCCCCAUCAAGCAUUGGCAAGACAUUAACCAG
This 2029-nucleotide long non-coding RNA is filed under the name Sus scrofa (pig). RNAcentral describes it as "lncRNA (ENSSSCG00060051711.1)". The record is from RNAcentral. Lineage: Eukaryota; Metazoa; Chordata; Mammalia; Artiodactyla; Suidae.